This 715-nucleotide ribosomal RNA is filed under the name uncultured Lachnospiraceae bacterium. RNAcentral's name for it is "bacterial SSU rRNA". It matches the Rfam family "Bacterial small subunit ribosomal RNA", at positions 28 to 741 of the family's 1533-position model. Lineage: Bacteria; Bacillati; Bacillota; Clostridia; Lachnospirales; Lachnospiraceae. The record is from RNAcentral.
GAUGAACGCUGGCGGCGUGCUUAACACAUGCAAGUCGAACGAAACACCUUAUUUGAUUUUCUUCGGAACUGAAGAUUUGGUGAUUGAGUGGCGGACGGGUGAGUAACGCGUGGGUAACCUACCCUGUACAGGGGGAUAACAGUCAGAAAUGACUGCUAAUACCGCAUAAGACCACAGCACCGCAUGGUGCAGGGGUAAAAACUCCGGUGGUACAGGAUGGACCCGCGUCUGAUUAGCUGGUUGGUGAGGUAACGGCUCACCAAGGCGACGAUCAGUAGCCGGCUUGAGAGAGUGAACGGCCACAUUGGGACUGAGACACGGCCCAAACUCCUACGGGAGGCAGCAGUGGGGAAUAUUGCACAAUGGGGGAAACCCUGAUGCAGCGACGCCGCGUGAGUGAAGAAGUAUCUCGGUAUGUAAAGCUCUAUCAGCAGGGAAGAAAAUGACGGUACCUGACUAAGAAGCCCCGGCUAACUACGUGCCAGCAGCCGCGGUAAUACGUAGGGGGCAAGCGUUAUCCGGAAUUACUGGGUGUAAAGGGUGCGUAGGUGGUAUGGCAAGUCAGAAGUGAAAACCCAGGGCUUAACUCUGGGACUGCUUUUGAAACUGUCAGACUGGAGUGCAGGAGAGGUAAGCGGAAUUCCUAGUGUAGCGGUGAAAUGCGUAGAUAUUAGGAGGAACAUCAGUGGCGAAGGCGGCUUACUGGACUGAAACU